GCAUUGGUGGUUCAGUGGUAGAAUUCGUGUCUAUCAUGUGGGAGAUCUAGGUUCAAUUCCCAACCAAUGCG
RNAcentral lists this transfer RNA (71 nucleotides) under Loxodonta africana (African savanna elephant). It matches the Rfam family "tRNA". From Rfam's summary of the family: Transfer RNA (tRNA) molecules are approximately 80 nucleotides in length. Their secondary structure includes four short double-helical elements and three loops (D, anti-codon, and T loops). The record is from Rfam by way of RNAcentral. Lineage: Eukaryota; Metazoa; Chordata; Mammalia; Proboscidea; Elephantidae.